This 73-nucleotide transfer RNA is filed under the name Pteropus alecto (black flying fox). It matches the Rfam family "tRNA". Rfam says of the family: Transfer RNA (tRNA) molecules are approximately 80 nucleotides in length. The record is from Rfam by way of RNAcentral. Lineage: Eukaryota; Metazoa; Chordata; Mammalia; Chiroptera; Pteropodidae.
GGUUGCACAGUGUAGCGGGGAGCACGUCUGCUUUACAUGCUGAAGGUCCUGGGUUUGCGCCCCAAUGCAGCCA